AAACGCUUGAAGUCAGUCGCGACGUUCGGGACUCAGCCUUGCUUCUGCUUGGUGUACUUCCUGUUCGUUGGGUCAGCAUCAGUUUUGGUCGGUGGAAAAAGGUGUAGAGAACGUGGCAUCUUCGGGUGUGUUAUAGCUCUAGGUGCA
Molecule: ribosomal RNA, 147 nt
Filed under: Tricholomataceae sp.
Lineage: Eukaryota; Fungi; Basidiomycota; Agaricomycetes; Agaricales; Tricholomataceae
Description: partial large subunit ribosomal RNA
Source: RNAcentral